CUUCCUUGAAGCGCUCGCCUGCAGCCCCUGAUGGCACUUUUCUUUAAACCCACGCGCCUGUGCAGCCCUUCGCACUCGAUCUAAAUGCUGUCACUAAUCAGAAUUUUUCAUAAGAUAAUCUUAGGAGAGCUGCGAAGUGCUGAUUGCCACACAUAGAACUGGUGGCAAUGAGCAGCGGGAUGCUGUACCUGUCCCGUUUUUAUUGGCGUCAUUCCGUUCUCAUGACACGUCCCUUCCCACUCGAUCUGAAUGCUGUCACUAAGCAGAAUUUUUCAUAAGAUAAUCUUAGGAAAGCUGCGAAGUGCUGAUUGCGACACAUAGAACUGGUGGCAAUGAGCAGCGGGAUGCGAUAUCUGUCACGUUUAUUGGCGUUAUUCCGUUCUCAUGACACGUCCCUUCGCACUCGAUCUGAAUGCUGUCACUAAGCAGAAUUUUUCAUAACAUCAUCUUAGGAAAGCUGCGAAGUGCUGAUUGCGACACAUAGAACUGGUGGCAAUGAGCAGCGGGAUGCUGUACCUGUCCCGUUUUUAUUGGCGUCAUUCCAUUCUCAUGACACGUCCCUUCCCACUCGAUCUGAAUGCUGUCACUAAGCAGAAUU
Molecule: long non-coding RNA, 598 nt
Filed under: Volvox carteri
Lineage: Eukaryota; Viridiplantae; Chlorophyta; Chlorophyceae; Chlamydomonadales; Volvocaceae
Description: long non-coding RNA (VCAR_LNC003232)
Source: RNAcentral